CAUCUCUACUGCUUUCUGUGCUCCGGGUGUCCUCACAGCCCUGCUCCUCUGCCCCUCGCAUCAUGCAGCAGUCAGCCCCAGGGCUCCUCGUAGAACUCCCUUCCAACUGAGAAAGCAGAGAAGAGGUUGUGUGUUUUCUCUUUCCUGGACGACUGAGAGCUCUCUGAGAGCGGGGCUUGAUUCCUGCCCCCAGGAUCUGCCCCGGCACAGCCCCCCCCACCCAGGGGCAGCACCCAUUCAAGGGCAGAUGGCCCAGGGCUGACAGGCUGGGCAGCCUGGCAGCCCGCCCCGGUCCCAGGCUCCCUGAGCCGAGGGGAGGAGGCUGCUGUCUUUAAAGAGGAUGUGAUGGACAGUUAUUGAAGGCGCUCAGCUGGGGGCUCUACUCUAGUCUUAAUCUGAGCCGCCCUCAAGGAAAUCAUAACCAGCUCUUAAAAACAUGUUAAGACCAAAGCUGGUGUGUGUGUUUGAGCAGAGCUUCAGACAGCUACUUAACACUGGGGGCCUCUGGGCCUUUGAUUCUUCUAGCCCUCGCCUUGCCCUCUCCCCCCAGCUGCCUGGUGUUUAUCGGCCAAGACGUUGUUUAAAUCACACUCGCUUCCUAUAAACAUUUCACUUGAAAUGCCAUCCGCUGCGCCAGAAAUUCAUCCAUCACCAGCUCGGGGGUGUACUCGCGGAGCCUCGGGGCGACGGCUCCCCAUCUCUCUCUCCUGUCCCCCAUCAUCCCCUCCUCCCCUGACCCACAGGCUCAGGUUUCACACUGUAAGAACAACUUCCACUCGGUGUAACAGGGCACUUAGUGCCAGGAUUAUUUAUAACAGCCGAGAUGGCAACAGGCUGUGGGGAGCGGCCCAGCCCGUGGAUGCCUCCUCUUGCAAAGCUCAAUAAAUGGACCUGGAACGCUGUUUA
Long non-coding RNA from Hyaena hyaena (striped hyena), 906 nucleotides. RefSeq lists it as uncharacterized. NCBI's taxonomy places the organism in Eukaryota, Metazoa, Chordata, Mammalia, Carnivora, Hyaenidae. The transcript has 2 exons. The record is from RefSeq and is a predicted model, not a curated record.